AUGAACGCUGGCGGCGCGCCUAAUACAUGCAAGUCGAGCGAACAGACGAGGAGCUUGCUCCUCUAACGUUAGCGGCGGACGGGUGAGUAACACGUGGAUAACCUACCUAUAAGACUGGGAUAACUUCGGGAAACCGGAGCUAAUACCGGAUAAUAUAUUGAACCGCAUGGUUCAAUAGUGAAAGACGGUUUUGCUGUCACUUAUAGAUGGAUCCGCGCCGCAUUAGCUAGUUGGUAAGGUAACAGCUUACCAAGGCAACGAUGCGUAGCCG
This 271-nucleotide ribosomal RNA is filed under the name uncultured bacterium. RNAcentral describes it as "partial 16S ribosomal RNA". It matches the Rfam family "Bacterial small subunit ribosomal RNA", at positions 29 to 289 of the family's 1533-position model. The record is from RNAcentral.